RNAcentral lists this ribosomal RNA (253 nucleotides) under uncultured bacterium. RNAcentral's name for it is "partial 16S ribosomal RNA". It matches the Rfam family "Bacterial small subunit ribosomal RNA", at positions 524 to 776 of the family's 1533-position model. The record is from RNAcentral.
AACGUAGGACGCAAGCGUUAUCCGGAGUUACUGGGCGUAAAGCGUGCGCAGGCGGUGAGCUGUGUCCGAUGUGAAAGCCCCGGGCUUAACCUGGGAAUGGCAUUGGAAACUGGCUCGCUGGAGUGUGGCAGAGGGGGGUGGAAUUCCGCGUGUAGCAGUGAAAUGCGUAGAGAUGCGGAGGAACACCGAUGGCGAAGGCAGCCCCCUGGGCUAACACUGACGCUCAGGCACGAAAGCGUGGGGAGCAAACAGG